GACGAACGCUGGCGGCGUGCUUAACACAUGCAAGUCGAACGGAAAGGCCCUGCUUUUGUGGGGUGCUCGAGUGGCGAACGGGUGAGUAACACGUGAGUAACCUGCCCUUGACUUUGGGAUAACUUCAGGAAACUGGGGCUAAUACCGGAUAGGAGCUCCUGCUGCAUGGUGGGGGUUGGAAAGUUUCGGCGGUUGGGGAUGGACUCGCGGCUUAUCAGCUUGUUGGUGGGGUAGUGGCUUACCAAGGCUUUGACGGGUAGCCGGCCUGAGAGGGUGACCGGCCACAUUGGGACUGAGAUACGGCCCAGACUCCUACGGGAGGCAGCAGUGGGGAAUAUUGCACAAUGGGCGGAAGCCUGAUGCAGCAACGCCGCGUGCGGGAUGACGGCCUUCGGGUUGUAAACCGCUUUCGCCUGUGACGAAGCGUGAGUGACGGUAAUGGGUAAAGAGGCACCGGCUAGCUACGUG
This 468-nucleotide ribosomal RNA is filed under the name uncultured bacterium. RNAcentral describes it as "partial 16S ribosomal RNA". It matches the Rfam family "Bacterial small subunit ribosomal RNA", at positions 28 to 507 of the family's 1533-position model. The record is from RNAcentral.